AUACUUAUCUGACAGGGGAGAUACCAUGAUCAAUAAGGUGGUUCUCCCAGGAUGAGGUUAUCCGAUUGCACAUUGGGUGUACUGACACCUACAAUAUCUCCAAGGCCCAAACGCAGGAUACUCAACUGCAAAAUUUGUGAUGGUAGGAGACUGCAUUCGCACUUUAUUUGG
Stegostoma tigrinum is the source of this 171-nucleotide small nuclear RNA. RefSeq annotates it as U1 spliceosomal RNA. Lineage: Eukaryota; Metazoa; Chordata; Chondrichthyes; Orectolobiformes; Stegostomatidae. The record is from RefSeq and is a predicted model, not a curated record. The transcript has a single exon.